Molecule: non-coding RNA, 411 nt
Organism: Macaca mulatta (Rhesus monkey)
Lineage: Eukaryota; Metazoa; Chordata; Mammalia; Primates; Cercopithecidae
Source: RefSeq, a predicted model, not a curated record
ACUCCUAAUGGCUGUCUUUUUAGUUCCCCUGUGGAGAUAGCAAUCAUUUAUCUGAUUGGUCAGUUUGGAACGCGCAGUCCUUGGACGGCCUCUUCCUUUUGCGGAAACUGCUCAUCGGAAGUACCUGUUUAACCGGACCCCUCCAGGCUGUAAAACGGAAAGGCUGAGAAUUUGCCUCUGCGCCAUCUUCUUUUGGCUGUUACCCGUGACGUCGUUGGAAGCAGACUCUGAAACUUUCUGAGGAGAUCAUUUGGGCUUCAGAUUUCUAACAGGUUGUGUCAUGUCCUGCUUGAGUCAGAUGUAUAGGCAUUAUUGUGAGUAUGUAUGCGUAUUAUUAUGUCUUACUGAGAAGUGACAACCUGCUAGCAGCCCUCGCUCUCGGGGCUUCCUCAGACUUGGCAUAUGCUCUGG